Coturnix japonica (Japanese quail) is the source of this 458-nucleotide long non-coding RNA. RefSeq lists it as uncharacterized. The record is from RefSeq and is a predicted model, not a curated record. Lineage: Eukaryota; Metazoa; Chordata; Aves; Galliformes; Phasianidae.
CUUCUCUAAUGCUUUCACACCACUGAAAAGCCAGGCCAUGAUUCUCACAGCCGAGGAGGGACAACAAGAGGGAAACAGUCCAUCAGCAGGCUGGGAGAAUAUGGAAGAAAGCUUUGUGGCCGCUUCUACAGGAGAAGGAAUGGAAUUAAUCAGUAUGGUGCAGCAGGAGGACUCUCAGAGAAGGAAGAAUGCAGCAGUGAAGAAUCUUCUGUCCCUUACCUUGAACAUUAGCAUCAUGGUUCUGUUUUUUAAUUUGUGACAUAAAGGGUAAAUUCCUUGUUGUGGUCAUGGAUGAUGGCAAUCAUCAACACAUCUAGGCAGCAAGGCUUCUUUUCAACAUUCACGUCCUGGUGAAUCUGCAAACACUGAGAAGAAGGACAAGGAUCUUGUGCACUUAUUGAAAGUGCUUUUUCUUCCUUCUCCCCUUGAAAAGUACAAUAAAUUCAGCAUACAGCUCA